AAUUAAUAACAGCAAUUCGUAAUGUUGUUUUGCCUCUUGACAGCUGCAUUGAGGAGUGAGCACAGACCUGACGGUGGUACCAGACCCUCAAGGAGCGCCUACCCCAUGUCAACCACAAAUGCUGUGAAGAGGUGGAGCCCAAAUACUACCAACA
Molecule: long non-coding RNA, 154 nt
Organism: Megalobrama amblycephala (Wuchang bream)
Lineage: Eukaryota; Metazoa; Chordata; Actinopteri; Cypriniformes; Xenocyprididae
Exons: 3
Source: RefSeq, a predicted model, not a curated record